CUUGUCGUCGCCGCUCGCCGCCCGUUGCCGCCUGUCGUCGCCCGUGGCCACCCGCCACCCCAUCGCUACCCACCCCGCCGCCCGUGGAGGGUCUCCCGUGUGCGGCACAGUGCAGUGAAAAAGGGGAAGAAGAAGAUGGGAUAGAGAGGAUGACAAGUGGGGCCUUAAUUGGGGGGCAACAAUGGCAAUCCACACUGAAAUCGAUCUUUUCUGGAGCUGAGAGCACCCAUCUAGCCAAACACCUCAUUUUUGUUCUGGAGUUUUGGAGCGGAGCUGGCUCCAUGUGAAGUUGUGGAGUGGAGCAGCUCCACCCGGAGUUGGAGCUAUACCAAACAGGACCUAAGUUGGUUGAAGCUCGUCAAGUGUUCAAACAACCUGACACAAGUUAAAUCUCCGAUGGCUGGCGCGUCAGGUGUUGAUAUUUUAUACCCAGCAACCUACUGAGGGUAUCCCGAUUUAUACAGGUGGAAAUCGUCGUAUCUGGAACUUGAUAGUUAAAGCGGACACAUGAUUUAUACAGGUUCGGGCCGCCAGAGUAGUUAAUACCCUACGUCCUGUUUGGAGUGUUGUAUAUUGCGCUCUGCGCUUGGGUGUUGUUUGGUGUUGAGGAUUUGGUCCUCUAUUGUGACUCUAUGAGGUCUUCACCUACCAAUCUAGGGAUCCCUGCCCUCCUUUAUAUACUCCAAGAGGCGGAUUACUAGUCGGUUACAAGGAGUCCUAGCAGGAUUACAUGGUACGAAUCCUAAAAGGAUCACAGAGGAAUUAUCAUAGGAAUCCGUCUUCUUUCUUCCUUACCGGUACUGGGGAUCUAUCCCGACAGGUACACCGUACAUGUCUUGAAUACAACUUUCAUUAAACCUAUAAUCUUCCGAUCUGGUGCACCUCCGCAUGUGUACGGUGUGAGAGUGUUCAUUUAGUGGGUCAUUGUAUCUUACUACAAGAGAUAUAUAAGCAUAGUUCAGACCAAAGAAGGCCACAUGCCC
RNAcentral lists this long non-coding RNA (983 nucleotides) under Setaria viridis. RNAcentral's name for it is "long non-coding RNA (SVIR_LNC011268)". The record is from RNAcentral. Lineage: Eukaryota; Viridiplantae; Streptophyta; Magnoliopsida; Poales; Poaceae.